UCGCUUUGGCAGCAAAUAUACUAAAAUUGGAACUAUAGAGAGAAGAUUACCAUGGCCCCUGCACAAGGAUGACAUGCAAAUCUGUGAAGCGUUCCCUAUUUUU
Molecule: small nuclear RNA, 103 nt
Filed under: Cervus hanglu yarkandensis (Yarkand deer)
Lineage: Eukaryota; Metazoa; Chordata; Mammalia; Artiodactyla; Cervidae
Source: RNAcentral